AUUGAAAUAGUUUAUAUUAAAAUAGUAAAUUGUGAUUUUACUGAAAUACUUCAAUA
RNAcentral lists this transfer RNA (56 nucleotides) under Panonychus citri (citrus red mite). RNAcentral's name for it is "tRNA-His". Lineage: Eukaryota; Metazoa; Arthropoda; Arachnida; Trombidiformes; Tetranychidae. The record is from RNAcentral.